AAGUCGUAACAAGGUUUCCGUAGGUGAACCUGCGGAAGGAUCAUUAACACGUGUAUUCCACGUAUACUAACUUUCAACUAACCGUACUACGAACUUUCCCUGGUCGAACCAACUUCUUAGCUGCCUCAGUAUGAUUCUGAUGGGUAAGGGUCUUCGGACUCUGAUCACAUCAUACAGAAGCUGUCACUCCGGUCUUCGGAUUAGAGAGUGUGGCGGUAACCGGUUUGGCUGGGCUUUACAUUCCUGCAUAUGUGUUCCAACCAUCUUCGAGCAUAUGUGGGGAGCCCCCCUUUGUAUUCACCAUAUUUAACCCUAUUUGGCUAAUGUUUGGAUUACGGAUUGGCUUGGAGCUUGCUUCAGGUCUUUUGUCGGAUCCUACUAAGAUUUAUCUUAACUAAGUACAACUCUAGCAAUGGAUAUCUUGGUUCUC
Molecule: unclassified non-coding RNA, 430 nt
Filed under: fungal sp.
Lineage: Eukaryota; Fungi
Description: partial internal transcribed spacer region
Rfam family: Eukaryotic small subunit ribosomal RNA (bases 1-46)
Source: RNAcentral